This 253-nucleotide ribosomal RNA is filed under the name uncultured bacterium. RNAcentral describes it as "partial 16S ribosomal RNA". It matches the Rfam family "Archaeal small subunit ribosomal RNA", at positions 474 to 727 of the family's 1478-position model. The record is from RNAcentral.
UACCAGCACCCCGAGUGGUCGGGACGUUUAUUGGGCCUAAAGCAUCCGUAGCCGGUUCUACAAGUCUUCCGUUAAAUCCACCUGCUUAACAGAUGGACUGCGGAAGAUACUAUGGAGCUAGGAGGCGGGAGAGGCAAGCGGUACUCGAUGGGUAGGGGUAAAAUCCGUUGAUCCAUUGAAGACCACCAGUGGCGAAGGCGGCUUGCCAGAACGCGCUCGACGGUGAGGGAUGAAAGCUGGGGGAGCAAACCGG